RNA transcript from Ailuropoda melanoleuca (giant panda), 934 nucleotides. It is a transcript of the gene named olfactory receptor 4C11, with no coding region annotated. NCBI's taxonomy places the organism in Eukaryota, Metazoa, Chordata, Mammalia, Carnivora, Ursidae. The record is from RefSeq and is a predicted model, not a curated record. The transcript has a single exon.
AUGCAGCAAAAUCACAGCGUAACUGAGUUCAUACUGCUAGGAUUGACCCAAGAUCCUAUGAAAAAGAAAAUGAUAUUUAUAAUCUUCUUCAUUUUAUAUAUGGGAACCAUGGUGGGGAAUUUGCUUAUUAUUGUGACCAUCAAGUCCAGCCGGACACUUGGGGGGCCCCAUGUACUUUUUCCUAUUUUAUUUGUCCCUUGCUGAUUCCUGCUUCUCAACAUCCACAGCCCCCAGACUAAUUGUGGAUUCACUCUCUGCGCAAAGAAUCAUAACUUACAAUGAGUGCAUGACUCAAGUCUUCGCACUACAUUUCUUUGGCUGCAUGGAGGUCUUUGUGCUCAUCCUCAUGGCCGUGGAUCGCUAUGUGGCCAUCUGUAAGCCGUUACAUUACCCAACCAUCAUGAGAAGGCAGGUCUGCACCAUCCUGAUUGUGCUCGCAUGGAUAGGGUCUUUUAUCCAUUCUAUAGUCGAGGUUGCCCAGGCCUUGAAAUUGCCUUUCUGUGGACCCAAUCUGAUUGAUCAUUACUGCUGUGAUUUGCAGCCCUUACUGAAACUUGCUUGCAUGGACACCUAUCUGAUCAACCUAGAAUGGGCGACUAACAGUGGGGCAAUCUGCACAAGCAGUUUUGUGAUUCUGAUGAUCUCAUACAUUGUCAUCUUGCAUUCCCUGCGAAACCACAGUGCAGAAGGGAGGAAAAAAGCUCUCUCUACUUGCACUUCUCACAUCAUCGUAGUAGUCUUAUUCUUUGGUCCAUGCAUGUUCAUAUAUACACGCCCCCCAACCACUUUCCCCAUGGACAAGAUGGUGACGGUGUUUUAUACUAUUGGGACCCCUUUUCUCAACCCACUCAUCUACACACUGAGGAAUGCAGAAGUGAAAAAUGCCAUGAGGAAGCUAUGGUGUAUCAAAAUUACCUUAGAAAGCAAAAGAUGA